This 429-nucleotide ribosomal RNA is filed under the name bacterium. RNAcentral's name for it is "partial 16S ribosomal RNA". It matches the Rfam family "Bacterial small subunit ribosomal RNA", at positions 355 to 776 of the family's 1533-position model. The record is from RNAcentral.
UAGGGAAUCUUCGGCAAUGGGGGCAACCCUGACCGAGCAACGCCGCGUGAGUGAAGAAGGUUUUCGGAUCGUAAAGCUCUGUUGUAAGAGAAGAACGUGUGUGAGAGUGGAAAGUUCACACAGUGACGGUAACUUACCAGAAAGGGACGGCUAACUACGUGCCAGCAGCCGCGGUAAUACGUAGGUCCCGAGCGUUGUCCGGAUUUAUUGGGCGUAAAGCGAGCGCAGGCGGUUUAAUAGGUCUGAAGUUAAAGGCAGUGGCUUAACCAUUGUUCGCUUUGGAAACUGUUAAACUUGAGUGCAGAAGGGGAGAGUGGAAUUCCAUGUGUAGCGGUGAAAUGCGUAGAUAUAUGGAGGAACACCGGUGGCGAAAGCGGCUCUCUGGUCUGUAACUGACGCUGAGGCUCGAAAGCGUGGGGAGCAAACAGG